GAUGAACGCUGGCGGCGUGCCUAAUACAUGCAAGUCGAGCGAACGGACGAGAAGCUUGCUUCUCUGAUGUUAGCGGCGGACGGGUGAGUAACACGUGGAUAACCUACCUAUAAGACUGGGAUAACUUCGGGAAACCGGAGCUAAUACCGGAUAAUAUUUUGAACCGCAUGGUUCAAAAGUGAAAGGCGGUCUUGCUGUCACUUAUAGAUGGAUCCGCGCUGCAUUAGCUAGUUGGUAAGGUAACGGCUUACCAAGGCAACGAUGCAUAGCCGACCUGAGAGGGUGAUCGGCCACACUGGAACUGAGACACGGUCCAGACUCCUACGGGAGGCAGCAGUAGGGAAUCUUCCGCAAUGGGCGAAAGCCUGAUGGAGCAACGCCGCGUGAGUGAUGAAGGUCUUCGGAUCGUAAAACUCUGUUAUUAGGGAAGAACAUAUGUGUAAGUAACUGUGCACAUCUUGACGGUACCUAAUCAGAAAGCCACGGCUAACUACGUG
Molecule: ribosomal RNA, 497 nt
Filed under: uncultured bacterium
Lineage: Bacteria
Description: partial 16S ribosomal RNA
Rfam family: Bacterial small subunit ribosomal RNA
Source: RNAcentral